CCGGCGCACGGGUGAGUAACACGUAUCCAACCUGCCGUCUACUCUUGGACAGCCUUCUGAAAGGAAGAUUAAUACAAGAUGGCAUCAUGAGUCCGCAUGUUCACAUGAUUAAAGGUAUUCCGGUAGACGAUGGGGAUGCGCUCCAUUAGAUAGUAGGCGGGGUAACGGCCCACCUAGUCUUCGAUGGAUAGGGGUUCUGAGAGGAAGGUCCCCCACAUUGGAACUGAGACACGGUCCAAACUCCUACGGGAGGCAGCAUG
Molecule: ribosomal RNA, 260 nt
Filed under: uncultured bacterium
Lineage: Bacteria
Description: partial 16S ribosomal RNA
Rfam family: Bacterial small subunit ribosomal RNA
Source: RNAcentral